RNAcentral lists this unclassified non-coding RNA (283 nucleotides) under Hevea brasiliensis (rubber tree). The record is from RNAcentral. Lineage: Eukaryota; Viridiplantae; Streptophyta; Magnoliopsida; Malpighiales; Euphorbiaceae.
ACACACAUUAAACCAACUUGGUAAGACUCCUCAAAAAGCACAAUUUACAAAGUGUGUUAAGGAAAUCAUGUUAAAAAUAAAAAGAGAGGAGGGAGCAUUUCCAGAUUCUGUCAUUCUAAAUUUUGUUAAUAUAGUUUGAACAACAUUUCAGGCAACUAAAAGAAUAUGCUCCAAGUAAAAUAUAUAAUUGGAAAUCUCCCAAACAUCAAACAAAAAUUUACAUUAAUACAAGUGUGUAUGAGAGGCCACCACAAUAUAGAAAAAUAAUAGAAUAAAAAUAAAA